CAUGCCCCUAGAGGUGUUGCAGUUGUGGCUGUGGUACCACAUGUGUUUCAGUAGGUGACAGAGAGGAAAGAGGCUAUGUCUGUGCUCAGUGUUUAGACCUAUGAACAUUGGGAUGAUUAUUAUCCCAGUCCA
Acomys russatus (golden spiny mouse) is the source of this 132-nucleotide small nucleolar RNA. RefSeq annotates it as small nucleolar RNA SNORA17. The transcript has a single exon. Lineage: Eukaryota; Metazoa; Chordata; Mammalia; Rodentia; Muridae. The record is from RefSeq and is a predicted model, not a curated record.